Molecule: ribosomal RNA, 630 nt
Filed under: uncultured archaeon
Lineage: Archaea
Description: bacterial SSU rRNA
Rfam family: Archaeal small subunit ribosomal RNA
Source: RNAcentral
AGUCAUUGUAGCAAUACAAGGCAGACGGCUCAGUAACGCGUAGUCAAUCUACCCUAUGGACGGGAAUAACCUCGGGAAACUGAGAAUAAUGCCCGAUAGAACAUUAUGCCUGGAAUGGUUUAUGUUUCAAAUGAUUUAUCGCCAUAGGAUGGGACUGCGGCCUAUCAGUUUGUUGGUGAGGUAAUGGCCCACCAAGACUAUUACAGGUACGGGCUCUGAGAGGAGUGGCCCGGAGAUGGGUACUGAGACACGGACCCAGGCCCUAUGGGGCGCAGCAGGCGAGAAAACUUUGCAAUGUGCGAAAGCACGACAAGGUUAAUCCGAGUGGUUUCUGCUAAAGAAACCUUUUGUCAGUCCUAGAAACACUAACGAAUAAGGGGUGGGCAAGUUCUGGUGUCAGCCGCCGCGGUAAAACCAGCACCUCAAGUGGUCAGGAUGAUUAUUGGGCCUAAAGCAUCCGUAGCUCGUUUUGUAAGUUUUCGGUUAAAUCCAUACGCUUAACGUAUGGGCUGCCGGGAAUACUGCAUAACUAGGAAGUGGGAGAGGUAGACGGUACUCGGUAGGAAGGGGUAAAAUCCUUUGAUCUAUUGAUGACCACCUGUGGCGAAGGCGGUCUACCAGAACACGUUC